RNAcentral lists this long non-coding RNA (1981 nucleotides) under Xyrichtys novacula (pearly razorfish). Lineage: Eukaryota; Metazoa; Chordata; Actinopteri; Labriformes; Labridae. The record is from RNAcentral.
UGUAACACCUGCUCUGGCUGCUAUAGCUUUUAAAAGGCUGGGAGGGAGGGAUGGACCGACGACCCCCUCCUAUACCAAAUUAUAUAGAAAUACAUUUCUGCAAGUCGUUACUUUACGCUGUAUUAGAGUUGCCCAUUAUGUCCUGCCAUUUACUUUGAGUAGUGGCAGGAAGGUCUGAGGAUGCAUUACUGCUCCUCAUUUCUCUUGAAUGACUUGGUGUGGGCGUAAGGUAAGAACAAUAUUGAUCUGUCAUAUAUACUAGCUGCAGGACUGCUCCAUUUUAAAUGUGAAAAUACACAUUGUUUUACUGGAUUUGUUUGUCUGAAUCUCUCUGUUCAUUUGUUUGGGUUUAGGCACCUGUGCCCUUUAGACACCAAAGAUGUGGGGUGAUGACACUAGAACUCCAGCUCUAUGCUCAGUGUGUCCCAAGGGCCUACCUUGGAGAGGGGAAGACACAUUUCAUCCUAAGAGAGCAUCAGGUCAGCCUAUGAUUUUGAUAUCAAGACAUUUGCACUCUGAGUUUGUUGCCUUUUACUGUUUGUGUUUGUUUCUGGUGGUCUACCAAAGGAGAUAAGGAUGAGCCUCUCUCAAAAGAACAUCCAUUGGUGAACCCUCUGUCUGACACUUGGUUGUAUUCACACCUUCCUGGGUUGAGAAGUUCGUCACCAAGUCUUUCACAGCUGUGUAAAUUUACGGGUAGGAGCUGCAGGUGCCACAGUGAGAAGAAACAAUUCUACCUGUAAAUUCCCUGAACAUGUGCAUGGUGAGUGACAGUACAGUUUAUUCCUUUUAAUCUAAGGCUGCCAAUAAUUUCUCAAUGAUGCUCCAUGGCAUUUUGAAGAAGUUCUUUUUGUCUGGUAGAGUGUCACAGUGGCAGCCCCACACUGGCAGAGCAGCGCCUGAGCAACAGUUCCAGAGUACUGCAGCUAGACAGCUCUGUCUAUCAACUUGAGGAGGACCCACACACAUUGUAAGUUAACUUAAAUGUUGCAGUGUCUGUUUUCUGGUGUAUUUAAAUCAAUCUGUAAAAUUUCAUCUGGUUUCACAUUUUUUUCUCUCCUGUUCAGUGCUUCAGAGAGAGGUGAAGUUGGAUGUGCUGUGCAUGCGUCACCAUCCUGACAAGGGGUGCCGCCAUUGAUCUUGAACAGGACUCAAGCAUGUUGUGAGUCAACUGAACAGUUUAUUGAUCAUGAAGAGUUUUGUGACAUUUGCUAGAAAAGUUUAAAGGUAUUGAUAAUAAACAUAAAGUUUUGUCUGCCAGUGCUGUACAGGAAACCAAACCCUCUCCGUGUGUGACCGAUUAGCGGAGAAAAUUUCUGAUCCAGGAUUGGACAAGUUGUUGCUCACACAAUGCUGGACCUCUAACGGGUAUGUACUUGUCUUCAGCAGUCAUAUUAUUUCUUUGUGUUCAUCUGAUGUGACAACCUUCUCUCCUCUCUGUACAUCACAGAAGUCGACAUGAGCUGAAGAACUAGAAAAGUCCUGCAGAUCUUGUGACUGUGGCUUCUUAGAACCAAGCACCGAGUCUACAGCAGAGAAGGGUUCUGACCUGGGGAGCACCAGCUCUGAACUUCACCAAGUAUGUUUCAUCUUCAAAAUCUUUGACUUUUCCACACUACAACCAGCUGUGUAGGAUUUCAGUUUGUCGUCUGUAACACCGGUGUAAACUGUUGUCUUUUCCUCUCAACUCAUCACAGAACCAGCUCGACAUGAGCCACAGAGCCAAACCCAGCAACCAUGUGACCCUGAAGCCAUGUGAUCUCUGCUGAGCUUAGAACUCUAAAAUACUGCAUGCUCAGCCGUCCUGGUAGGGGAUCCCUCUAAGACCUGGCCUACCCAAAGGUUUCUUCCUCUUAUCCUGAGAAAGCUUUUUUGGGGGAGUUUUUCCUGACAUGCUUGGAGGGUCGAAAGGCUGACGGUGCCAUAUACCCCAGAUUUUUUUUCUGAUUCAAUGUCAAUAAAGAAAGUAAAUGAAAUUCUG